Molecule: long non-coding RNA, 1116 nt
Organism: Vigna unguiculata (cowpea)
Lineage: Eukaryota; Viridiplantae; Streptophyta; Magnoliopsida; Fabales; Fabaceae
Source: RefSeq, a predicted model, not a curated record
UUUACCUAUUCCUUAGGUUUUAUCUGGCCCCUACUUACGCAUACCAUCUUCUCUUAUCUCCAUUUCGACCUUCUGUGCCACUUUUGCCACUUUCUCUGAUGACCUCCGCCUCCUUCUCUAAUGGCCACCUUCACGAUUCUCAUUUUCAAACAAGAAAUUAGCAAGCAAAUCGAACUUGGAACUCAAAGGUUCUUCCUCAAAAUCAAAAAGCUAUAACUCACAACUUGAAGAUUUUUCCCAAAUUCAACAACCUUAUACGCCUCGCGGUCCCAACCCUAAUGGUCCUAAGUCUCACAAUAAUCGCUACUCGCAACCCUAGGGAGUGUCAUAGCCGUCAAGGUUAAGGUGUUUCUCCUCCACUUAUUCUCUUUAGGACCCUUUGCAUUGCAGAUCCUUUCGGGUUCUUGAAAUUUUAUUGAAGAGAAAAAAGAAAAACCCUAAUUUCAAAAUGGGAACUAAAGAAGUGUAAAUGUAAUGAAUAAAGGGCUUUAUUCGUGGAGAUGAUGGAGGUGAACUACAUAGUGGAGAGAGAGAAAAGGUCUCAGUUCGGAGCAAAGAACCCUGAGAUGGUGACUACGAUGAUGCCUGAUGCCAACGUAUCUCCAGACGCUGCAAUUGACUAUUGUGAUGUGCGUGUUGAUGCCAUUGCUAUACGCUCUGCUAUGGAUCUUGGUUUACUAAAAGUGAGUGGAGAAAAAAUCCCUGAAAUGUCAACCAUUGAUGUGAGCUCAAAAGAAUUUUAUUGAUGAAUGUGACAAGAGAAUUCUUAACAAGCAUUUUGCAAGACAAUACAGGUUUGGGAGACGACGGACUUUCUACUUUCUUAACACUAAGUUGAAGGUUCGUGAUUGAAAAAGGAAUUAGGGAAAACUAAGAAUAAAUGUUCUAUAAAGUUUGAUGCAAUUGGGUGAUAUCAGAAAACUCCAAGUUUAUGUUUUUGUCUUGUUUCCUUUUGUUUCUAGGUAAUGUAUACUUAUUUAGGUCUAUUUGUACAUAAAUUAAUCUGGGUUGUUUUUCUGUAAUUGUGUAAAAUAAUCUUGGUUGUUUUUCUUGUAAUUGAUUAGUGUCUUUUGUCAUUCAACAUUAAAGUAUGUUCAAUAAAGGUUUCUUUAAAUU